This 467-nucleotide ribosomal RNA is filed under the name uncultured bacterium. RNAcentral's name for it is "partial 16S ribosomal RNA". It matches the Rfam family "Bacterial small subunit ribosomal RNA", at positions 28 to 506 of the family's 1533-position model. The record is from RNAcentral.
GACGAACGCUGGCGGCGUGCUUAACACAUGCAAGUCGAACGGAAAGGCCCUGCUUUUGUGGGGUGCUCGAGUGGCGAACGGGUGAGUAACACGUGAGUAACCUGCCCUUGACUUUGGGAUAACUUCAGGAAACUGGGGCUAAUACCGGAUAGGAGCUCCUGCUGCAUGGUGGGGGUUGGAAAGUUUCGGCGGUUGGGGAUGGACUCGCGGCUUAUCAGCUUGUUGGUGGGGUAGUGGCUUACCAAGGCUUUGACGGGUAGCCGGCCUGAGAGGGUGACCGGCCACAUUGGGACGGAGAUACGGCCCAGACUCCUACGGGAGGCAGCAGUGGGGAAUAUUGCACAAUGGGCGGAAGCCUGAUGCAGCAACGCCGCGUGCGGGAUGACGGCCUUCGGGUUGUAAACCGCUUUCGCCUGUGACGAAGCGUGGGUGACGGUAAUGGGUAAAGAAGCACCGGCUAACUACGU